CCCGUAGCGGCAGAGAGGACUUGGUCUUCUUGUGCUUACAGAGUAGUGGGGGGUGGGGGGUUAGAGCAUCGCGCCAGAGCAAAGCGAUCCGAGGAUAAUAAAAGCCAUAGCUUCUUUAGCAAGGAAUAUGUAUUUAUACGGAACUGAUUUCCACCUGUCGCACCCGCCCUCUUACCACCAUCCCAGUGGCUCAGUGGUUUAGCAUAGGUGCCUUUUGGACUGUGAGUUUAGCUUUCCUGUGAGUUAAAACCAUUUACACAUUUGACGAGCAGCCAUUCGGUCAUGGACCAGGCGAAGUCCUUGUGAUUGACAACAUGCAAGCUACCUGACUUCUCCCCUUCCCUGCCUCACCCCCCUCCUCCCUGCGGUGCCCUCGCACUCAUCCUGGAGUCCAGCAUCACAAAGAGAGGCCAUGGUUAACACGUGAGUAACUGGCAGCAGUCUCAUCCUGCUCAUACAAACUCUUGUAGAAAAGCCAUCACAUUACACCAAAUGUCACUCUCUGUUUAUGUCAUGUGACUGGACCAGCUCCUGUCUGGCUGAUAGACAUUUAAGCCUUAAUAAAAUUAUGUUUAAAGUCAUGUUCUCUCUCUGACUUGUAAUUGCUCGCAUUGUGCAUCUUAGUGAUUUUGUGGAGUGAAUCUCUUUGCAGAGUACUGAAUAAAUGGGCUGAAAAAGCGAAGCUGGCACAAAGGAUGUGCAGCCCGAUGAGUUUUAGAGGGGUUAUUGCAGCAGCCGCAUGGACCGUCACAGGACUGAGGCUCAGAUACCUAAACCUGAGGAGGUCUGGUCUUCAAACAGCUGUUCAGAAAAAAGGAGGAAAAUCACUCAGAUACAUUCUGUCUCCAGCGUGUCCUCGAUGUGCAGAGGGAGGCCAAAUCCAUCCCUCGCUGGCCAGUGACCUCCUGAUGUGACGUCUGCAUCCCAGCAGGCUGGAUUUGGACGGACAAGAGACAAAGGCAGCACCCCAGCAAAUCUUGACAUUGGCUGCACUUCCUUUUCUAAACGAGC
RNAcentral lists this long non-coding RNA (1011 nucleotides) under Falco tinnunculus (common kestrel). Its description in RNAcentral is "lncRNA (ENSFTIG00000015017.1)". The record is from RNAcentral. Lineage: Eukaryota; Metazoa; Chordata; Aves; Falconiformes; Falconidae.